ACGGAAGGCAGCAGUGGGGACUAUUGGGCAAUGGGCGCAAGCCUGACCCAGCAACGCCGCGUGAAGGAAGAAGGCUUUCGGGUUGUAAACUUCUUUUGUCGGGGAAGAGUAGAAGACGGUACCUGACGAAUAAGCCACGGCUAACUACGUGCCAGCAGCCGCGGUAAUACGUAGGUGGCAAGCGUUGUCCGGAUUUACUGGGUGUAAAGGGCGUGCAGCCGGGUCUGCAAGUCAGAUGUGAAAUCCAUGGGCUCAACCCAUGAACUGCAUUUGAAACUGUAGAUCUUGAGUGCUGGAGAGGUAAUCGGAAUUCCUAGUGUAGCGGUGAAAUGCGUAGAUAUUAGGAAGAACACCAGUGGCGAAGGCGGAUUACUGGACAGUAACUGACGGUGAGGAGCGAAAGCGUGGGGAGCAAACAG
This is a ribosomal RNA of 419 nucleotides. It matches the Rfam family "Bacterial small subunit ribosomal RNA", at positions 341 to 775 of the family's 1533-position model.